UUCCGGUUGAUCCUGCCGGACCCGACUGCUAUCGGAUUGAGACUAAGCCAUGCGAGUCAACCCGCAAGGGUGGCGGACGGCUCAGUAACACGUAGUCAAUCUGCCCUAGGGACGUGGAUAAUCACGGGAAACUGUGCAUAAACCGCGAUAGGUCAUCGCUUCUGGAAUGGGCAAUGGCUCAAACCUAUAUGGCCCUAGGAUGGGACUGCGGCCGAUCAGGUUGUUGGCGGGGUAAAGGCCCACCAAGCCUGUUACCGGUACGGGCUCUGAGAGGAGGAGCCCGGAGAUGGACACUGAGACAAGGGUCCAGGUCCUAUGGGACGCAGCAGGCGCGAAAACUUCGCAAUGGGCGAAAGCCCGACGAGGUUAGUCCGAGUGUUUUCUGCUAAAGGAAUCUUUUGUCAGCUCUAAAUAGGCUGGCGAAUAAGGGGUGGGCAAGCCUGGUGUCAGCCGCCGCGGUAAGACCAGCACCCCGAGUGGUCGGGAUGUUUAUUGGGCCUAAAGCAUCCGUAGCCGGUCCUGCAAGUCUUCCAUUAAAUCCACCUGCUCAACAGUUGGGCUGUGGGAGAAACUGCAGGACUAGGAGGCGGGAGAGGCGAGGGGUAUUCCUUGGGUAGUGGUAAAAUGCUCUGAUCCAUGGAGGACCACCAGUGGCGAAGGCGUCUCGCCAGAACGUGCUCGACGGUGAGGGAUGAAAGCUGGGGGAGCAAACCGGAUUAGAUACCCGGGUAGUCCCAGCCGUAAACGAUGCAGGCUCGGUGAUGGAUUGGCUUCGAGCCAAUCCAGUGCCGCAGGGAAGCCGUUAAGCCUGCCGCCUGGGGAGUACGGUUGCAAGACUGAAACUUAAAGGAAUUGGCGGGGGAGCACCACAAGGGGUGAAGCCUGCGGUUCAAUUGGAGUCAACGCCGGGAACCUUACCGGGGGAGACAGCAGUGUGAAGGUCAGGUCGAAGACUUUACCAGACGAGCUGAGAGGAGGUGCAUGGCCGUCGCCAGCUCGUGCCGUGAGGUGUCCUGUUAAGUCAGGCAACGAGCGAGACCCA
This 1042-nucleotide ribosomal RNA is filed under the name uncultured crenarchaeote. RNAcentral describes it as "bacterial SSU rRNA". It matches the Rfam family "Archaeal small subunit ribosomal RNA", at positions 1 to 1054 of the family's 1478-position model. Lineage: Archaea; Thermoproteati; Thermoproteota. The record is from RNAcentral.